RNAcentral lists this ribosomal RNA (637 nucleotides) under uncultured bacterium. RNAcentral's name for it is "bacterial SSU rRNA". The stretch from base 1 to 542 matches the Rfam family "Bacterial small subunit ribosomal RNA", at positions 338 to 873 of the family's 1533-position model. The record is from RNAcentral.
CCUACGGGAGGCAGCAGUGGGGAAUUUUGGACAAUGGGCACAAGCCUGAUCCAGCAAUGUCGCGUGCAGGAUGAAGGCCUUCGGGUUGUAAACUGCUUUUGUACGGAGCGAAACGGUCUACUCUAAUACAGUGGGCUAAUGACGGUACCGUAAGAAUAAGCACCGGCUAACUACGUGCCAGCAGCCGCGGUAAUACGUAGGGUGCGAGCGUUAAUCGGAAUUACUGGGCGUAAAGCGUGCGCAGGCGGUUAUAUAAGACAGAUGUGAAAUCCCCGGGCUCAACCUGGGACCUGCAUUUGUGACUGUAUAGCUAGAGUGCGGCAGAGGGGGAUGGAAUUCCGCGUGUAGCAGUGAAAUGCGUAGAUAUGCGGAGGAACACCGAUGGCGAAGGCAAUCCCCUGGGCCUGCACUGACGCUCAUGCACGAAAGCGUGGGGAGCAAACAGGAUUAGAUACCCUGGUAGUCCACGCCCUAAACGAUGUCAACUGGUUGUUGGGUCUUCACUGACUCAGUAACGAAGCUAACGCGUGAAGUUGACCGCCUGGGGGAGGUACGGCCGCGAGGUUAGUAAACGUUAAAGGUAAAGUUAGUACGGCGUGAGACGUUAGCCGACGGACGACGACGAGGGGAGGUAGGG